RNAcentral lists this long non-coding RNA (253 nucleotides) under Elaeis guineensis (African oil palm). RNAcentral's name for it is "long non-coding RNA (EGUI_LNC034907)". Lineage: Eukaryota; Viridiplantae; Streptophyta; Magnoliopsida; Arecales; Arecaceae. The record is from RNAcentral.
CACUGGCACUGGUCGCAGUACUUCACGAACUCGGCACAAUGAAGUGCAGCAACUUCAUGGAUACUCAGCCAAUAGUACUCUUGCCACAGAAUCUUGUAAGCUAACACCCUACCCUCCAAGUGGUUGCCAUAGAUGCCCUCAUAGACCUCUCUCAAGGCAUAUUCUGUCUCAAAAAGUUGAAGAUAAUGAAGGAGAGGCAUGGAGGAAGACCGCCUGUAGAGCUUUCCUUCAAGCAUUACAUACUGCACGGACU